Acanthosepion pharaonis is the source of this 113-nucleotide non-coding RNA. The record is from the annotation of a GenBank genome assembly. Lineage: Eukaryota; Metazoa; Mollusca; Cephalopoda; Sepiida; Sepiidae.
UUAUGGCCAUAUCACAUUGAAACACCAGUACUCAUCCAAUGACCAAAGUUAAGCAAUGUUGAGCCUGGUCAGUACUUCGAUGGGUGACUGCUGGAGAAUACCAGGUAUUGUUA